UCUUUUGAAUCCACAGCACCCAAAACUCAACAAUGCCAUGGCUAAAGCACCCAAAACCUCAGGCGGUGGGCAAAGAAUUGUUCAACCUUUUAAACUCUAUUCAGUUUCAACCAUGACACAGCAUCCUAAGCACCCAAAACUCAGCACGACAUCGCUUCAACGAGAUCCUUCCUGGACCCUCAACAGCUAAAGCACCACAAUUCCUCUGCUCCCUC
This 215-nucleotide long non-coding RNA is filed under the name Elaeis guineensis (African oil palm). Its description in RNAcentral is "long non-coding RNA (EGUI_LNC004854)". Lineage: Eukaryota; Viridiplantae; Streptophyta; Magnoliopsida; Arecales; Arecaceae. The record is from RNAcentral.